AAACUAACAAGGAUUCCCCUAGUAACGGCGAGUGAACCGGGAUGAGCUCAAAUUUGUAAUCUGGCGUGCUCCGCGCGUCCGAGUUGUAAUCUAUAGAAGCGUUUUCCGUGCCGGACCGUGUCCAAGUCCCUUGGAACAGGGUAUCAAAGAGGGUGACAAUCCCGUACUUGACACGACGACCGGUGCUCUGUGAUACGUUUUCUACGAGUCGAGUUGUUUGGGAAUGCAGCUCAAAACGGGUGGUAAAUUCCAUCUAAGGCUAAAUAUUGGCGAGAGACCGAUAGCGAACAAGUACCGUGAGGGAAAGAUGAAAAGCACUUUGGAAAGAGAGUUAAACAGUACGUGAAAUUGUUGAAAGGGAAACGAUUGAAGUCAGUCGUGUCCAAGGGAUUCAGCCGGUUCUUCCGGUCUACUUCUCUUGGACGGGUCAACAUCAGUUUUGGCCGGUGGAUAAAGGCUGGAGGAAUGUGGCACCCUCGGGGUGUGUUAUAGCCUCCUGUCACAUACAUCGGCCGAGACUGAGGAAUGCAGCUCGCCUCACGGCCGGGGUUCGCCCACGUACGAGCUUAGGAUGUUGACAUAAUGGCUUUAAACGACCCGUCUUGAAACAC
Molecule: ribosomal RNA, 611 nt
Filed under: Tremellales sp.
Lineage: Eukaryota; Fungi; Basidiomycota; Tremellomycetes; Tremellales
Description: partial large subunit ribosomal RNA
Rfam family: Eukaryotic large subunit ribosomal RNA
Source: RNAcentral